GUUGAACGCUGGCGGCGUGCUUUAUACAUGCAAGUCGAGCGAACAGACGAGGUGCUUUCUUCUCUGACGUCAGCGGCGGACGUGUUAGUAACACGUGUAUAACCUACUUAUAAGACUGGGAUCACUUCGUGAAACCGUAGCUAAUACCGGAUAAUAUAUUGAACCGCAUGGUUCAAUAGUGUAAUUCGGCUUUGCUGUUUCUUAUAGAUGGUUCCGCGCCGCAUUAGCUAGUUGGUAAGGUAACGGCUUACCAAGGCUACGAUGCGUAGCCGACCUGAGAGGGUGAUCAGCCACACUGGAACUGAGACACGGUCCAGACUCCUACGGGAGGCAGCAGUAGGGAAUCUUCGGCAAUGGGCGAAAGCCUGACGGAGCAACGCCGCGUGAGUGAUGAAGGUCUUCGGAUCGUAAAACUCUGUUAUUAGGGAAGAACAAGUGUGUAAGAAACUAGGGACGUCUUGACGGUACCUGAUCAGAAAGCCACGGCUAACUACGUG
RNAcentral lists this ribosomal RNA (497 nucleotides) under uncultured bacterium. RNAcentral's name for it is "partial 16S ribosomal RNA". It matches the Rfam family "Bacterial small subunit ribosomal RNA", at positions 28 to 507 of the family's 1533-position model. The record is from RNAcentral.